AACGAACGCUGGCGGCAUGCCUAACACAUGCAAGUCGAACGAGACCUUCGGGUCUAGUGGCGCACGGGUGCGUAACGCGUGGGAACCUGCCCUUAGGUUCGGAAUAACUCCCCGAAAGGGGUGCUAAUACCGGAUAAUGUCUUCGGACCAAAGAUUUAUCGCCUUUGGAUGGGCCCGCGUUGGAUUAGCUAGUUGGUAGGGUAAAAGCCUACCAAGGCGACGAUCCAUAGCUGGUCUGAGAGGAUGAUCAGCCACACUGGGACUGAGACACGGCCCAGACUCCUACGGGAGGCAGCAGUGGGUAAUAUUGUACAAUGGGCGAAAGCCUGAUCCAGCAAUGCCGCGUGAGUGAUGAAGGCCUUAGGGUUGUAAAGCUCUUUUACCCGGGAUGAUAAUGACAGUACCGGGAGAAUAAGCACCGGCUAACUCCGUG
Molecule: ribosomal RNA, 433 nt
Filed under: uncultured bacterium
Lineage: Bacteria
Description: partial 16S ribosomal RNA
Rfam family: Bacterial small subunit ribosomal RNA
Source: RNAcentral